UCCAGACUCCUACGGGAGGCAGCAGUGAGGAAUAUUGGUCAAUGGCCGGAAGGCUGAACCAGCCAAGCCGCGCGAAGGACGAAGGUGCCAAGCAUUGUAAACUUCUUUUGUCAAGGGACAAAAUCAGGCUCGAGAGCCUGACCGAGGGUACUUGAAGAAAAAGCAUCGGCUAACUCCGUGCCAGCAGCCGCGGUAAUACGGAGGAUGCGAGCGUUAUCCGGAUUUACUGGGUGUAAAGGGGGCGCAGACGGCAAUGCAAGCCAGGAGUGAAAGCCCGGGGCCCAACCCCGGGACUGCUCUUGGAACUGCAUGGCUGGAGUACAGGAGGGGCAGGCGGAAUUCCUAGUGUAGCGGUGAAAUGCGUAGAUAUUAGGAGGAACACCGGUGGCGAAGGCGGCCUGCUGGACUGUGACUGACGUUGAGGCCCGAAGGCGUGGGGAGCAAACAGGAUUAGAUACCCCCGUAC
RNAcentral lists this ribosomal RNA (466 nucleotides) under uncultured bacterium. RNAcentral's name for it is "bacterial SSU rRNA". It matches the Rfam family "Bacterial small subunit ribosomal RNA", at positions 330 to 793 of the family's 1533-position model. The record is from RNAcentral.